Molecule: ribosomal RNA, 292 nt
Filed under: uncultured bacterium
Lineage: Bacteria
Description: partial 16S ribosomal RNA
Source: RNAcentral
GGACUACAAGGGUAUCUAAUCCUGUUUGCUCCCCACGCUUUCGCGCCUCAGCGUCAGUAUGAUGCCAGGUGACUGCCUUCGCCAUCGACGUUCCUUCCGAUCUCUACGCAUUUCACCGCUACACCGGAAAUUCCAUCACCCUCUCAUCUACUCUAGUCUAGUCGUUUGCGAUGCACUUCCCAGGUUAAGCCCGGGGCUUUCACACCACACUCACUAAACCGCCUACGCGCCCUUUACGCCCAGUAACUCCGAUUAACGCUCGCACCCUCUGUAUUACCGCGGCUGCUGGCAC